UACGUAGGGCGCAAGCGUUGUCCGGAAUUAUUGGGCGUAAAGAGCUCGUAGGCGGCUUGUCACGUCGGGUGUGAAAGCCCUCGGCUCAACCGAGGAAGUGCGCCCGAAACUGCAGAGCUUGAGUACCGGAGAGGAUGGCGGAAUUCCCCAAGUAGAGGUGAAAUUCGUAGAUAUGGGGAGGAACACCGGUGGCGAAGGCGGCCAUCUGGACGGAUACUGACGCUGAGACGCGAAAGCGUGGGUAGCAAACAGG
Molecule: ribosomal RNA, 253 nt
Filed under: uncultured bacterium
Lineage: Bacteria
Description: partial 16S ribosomal RNA
Rfam family: Bacterial small subunit ribosomal RNA
Source: RNAcentral